RNAcentral lists this long non-coding RNA (762 nucleotides) under Homo sapiens (human). RNAcentral's name for it is "HSALNT0037531". Lineage: Eukaryota; Metazoa; Chordata; Mammalia; Primates; Hominidae. The record is from RNAcentral.
CUGACAUCCAACUGUCAGCUCAUGCACAUGGUUUUAAAUCGUGCCUUGAGAUCUUACAAAAAGCCUGGCUUUGGCCCUGAGACUUGAUUCACUUUGCCAUCUUCUAUCUAUCGAGCACCUCUAAGGGCCGCUUCUCCCAUGGGCCUCCAUUGGCCCUGGACAGCCUGUCAGCUCUCAGCCAUGGGCCACCUCACCAGUCAGAUCCUGCAUCAGGCACUCCACAUACAAGAUCGGGAGCCCUCUUGCCUAUGACCAAGGUGUCCCUGUGCCCACGCUACAAGUGAAAGUGCUAAGCUCCACAGAGGAACGAACAACAUGACUUGAUGCUGCCUCUCCAAGAAGGACUUACCGUCAUGUCCACAUGAGCAAGAGAAGCUCCUGCCCCAGUGGGCACUUUUCCAGGAUGCUGAGUGAAUGUCGGCUGCAGAGUGGACAUGAGGGAUUCAGUGGCUUUCGGGCUGCCUAGACACAGCCACUGAAAUACACGGUGCCCCUACAUGACAUUCAAAUGCCAUACAGUGCAAGUCCAGGGCAGCAAUGUGACCCGUGCCUGGUCACAGGCUGUCUGAGAGCAGAGGCGGAAUAACUCCCUCCAGCAUGAAGAGCUGCUAGUCCUCCACACAUCUCCAUCCACCACCGUUCAUGAAAAACACAUAAAAAUGCCAUUCAAUUAGGUAGAGGCUGAUGGUUAGUCUCCGGGACAAUGGAAGACAAGGGACACCCCCACCUGUCACCCGGCACUGCCACCUAAGAGACCCUGAA